UUUGAUCCUGGCUCAGAACGAACGCUGGCGGCGUGCCUAACACAUGCAAGUCGAACGGAAUUUGAGAGCUUGCUCUUAAAUUUAGUGGCGCACGGGUGAGUAACGCGUAGAUAAUCUGCCUGAUGAUCUGGGAUAACACUCCGAGAGAGGUGCUAAUACCGGAUAAGCCCACGGAGUUCUUUGACUCUGCGGGAAAAGGGGGGGACCUUCGGGCCCUCUGUCAAUCAGAUGAGUCUGCGUACCCAUUAGCUAGUUGGUAGGGUAAUGGCCUACCCAAGGGCUACGAUGGUUAGCUGGUCUGAGAGGAUGAUCAGCCACACUGGAACUGAGACACGGUCCAGACUCCUACGGGAGGCAGCAGUGGGGAAUUUUUGCGCAAUGGGGCGAAAGCCUGACGCAGCAACGCCGCGUGAGUGAUGAAGGCUUUUCGGGUCGUAAAGCUCUGUCGAGGGGAAAGAAAUGUAUUGUGGGCUAAUACCCGCGAUACUUGACGGUACCCCUAAAGGGAAGCACCGGCUAACUCCGUGCCAGCAGCCGCGGUAAUACGGGGGGUGCAAGCGUUGUUUCGGAAAUUAUUGGGCGUAAAAGCGCGUGUAGGCGGUCUGAUUAGUCCUGAUGUGAAAGCCCUGGGCUCACCCCAGGAAGUGCAUUGGAUACUGUCAGACUUGAAUACGGGAGAAGGGUAGUGGAAUUCCUAGUGUAGGAGUGAAAUCCGUAAAAUAUUAGGAGGAACACCGGUGGCGAAAGGCGGCUACCUGGACCGAUAUUGACGCUGAGACGCGAAAGCGUGGGUAGCAAAACAGGAUUAGAUACCCUGGUAGUCCACGCCGUAAACGAUGAGUACUAGGUGUUGCGGGUAUUGACCCCUGCAGUGCCGCAGCUAACGCAUUAAGUACUCCGCCUGGGAAGUACGGUCGCAAGACUAAAACUCAAAGGAAUUGACGG
RNAcentral lists this ribosomal RNA (945 nucleotides) under uncultured delta proteobacterium. RNAcentral's name for it is "bacterial SSU rRNA". It matches the Rfam family "Bacterial small subunit ribosomal RNA", at positions 12 to 916 of the family's 1533-position model. The record is from RNAcentral. Lineage: Bacteria; Deltaproteobacteria.